UUCCGAGAAAAAACAGGUUUUUCUCAGUUUUUCUGGUUUACUUUUGGUUGGUUCGCCGUAAUCAAUACCGGAACCAGAACCAAAACCUACGCCCGAGACGUCUUGGUCUUUAUAUUUAAAAAUAAGCCUUGUCUAAGGGAAUUUCAAUCUUCCUCUCCUCCCCUCCGUGGUAGAUAAGCUUCAAGGGGGCAAUCCCUGCAGGGCCGGAGGGGAAUUCGUGUCCUACUAAUCACAAUGCCUGCUAGUGCUAAAGUUUUCAAAACAGGGAUUGAACAGAACAUAUCUGUGUAAAAAUGGGUCAUGUCCCGGCUUUUCCGAUGAAAAUAAUUCCAUGCUCUUUUGCGGCCAGAAAUCCAAUGGGAAAAUUCAUGUGGAAUAAACCAAAUAGGUACCUAUAAGUACUUAGGUAUGUGCAAAACUCAAAAUCUUUCCCUUGCUAAUCUUAGCUUUUAUACAGAAUUACUCGCUGGAUUCACUUACUUACAGCCUGGGUAGAUUUUCUCACUCUGAAGAAUAGAACCGCCUGCUUGGAGCUGCCCUCUGCUGAUCGGUGUAACUGGUAGCUGAAGAUACGAUCGUUAUGAGGCGAUAAAAGCAGCUGAAGAUUGAAGCUUUUUGGGGACUUUAGACUUCAACAUUCAAUUGCCAGCGAGUUGUACCGAAAUCAUGCUUGCACAAUUCAUUUGUCGGUCUGUAAACGAAUGGAGCCUAAAGAAAAAAGUACUAAAACGUGGUAGAUGACGUCAUCAGCUCGAGAAAGCUGAAAACUGAUAAACCAAUUGGAGAGUGGUAUAGACAUGGCAUUAUGCUCAGCCUAGAGAGGCACUCCAUUUGUAACAAGGUUGUCGGGUUAUGAGAUAAAAAUGGAGUAAAAUAGGGAAAUUGUCUGAUGUCUCAGCCAUGUCUGAUAAAAAUUAUGUAUAAAGUAAU
Long non-coding RNA from Bemisia tabaci, 930 nucleotides. RefSeq lists it as uncharacterized. The record is from RefSeq and is a predicted model, not a curated record. NCBI's taxonomy places the organism in Eukaryota, Metazoa, Arthropoda, Insecta, Hemiptera, Aleyrodidae.